Molecule: ribosomal RNA, 472 nt
Filed under: uncultured bacterium
Lineage: Bacteria
Description: bacterial SSU rRNA
Rfam family: Bacterial small subunit ribosomal RNA
Source: RNAcentral
CUACGCACUCCUACGGGAGGCAGCAGUGGGGAAUAUUGCACAAUGGGCGCAAGCCUGAUGCAGCCAUGCCGCGUGUAUGAAGAAGGCCUUCGGGUUGUAAAGUACUUUCAGCAGUGAGGAAGGUGGGUAUGUUAAUAGCAUACUCAUUUGACGUUAGCUGCAGAAGAAGCACCGGCUAACUCCGUGCCCAGCAGCCGCGGUAAUACGGAGGGUGCGAGCGUUAAUCGGAAUUACUGGGCGUAAAGCGCAUGCAGGUGGUUUGUUAAGUCAGAUGUGAAAGCCCGGGGCUCAACCUCGGAAUUGCAUUUGAAACUGGCAAACUAGAGUACUGUAGAGGGGGUAGAAUUUCAGGUGUAGCGGUGAAAUGCGUAGAGAUCUGAAGGAAUACCGGUGGCGAAGGCGGCCCCCUGGACAGAUACUGACACUCAGAUGCGAAAGCGUGGGGAGCAAACAGGAUUAGAUACCCUGGUAG